RNAcentral lists this ribosomal RNA (464 nucleotides) under uncultured bacterium. Its description in RNAcentral is "bacterial SSU rRNA". It matches the Rfam family "Bacterial small subunit ribosomal RNA", at positions 335 to 792 of the family's 1533-position model. The record is from RNAcentral.
ACUCCUACGGGAGGCAGCAGUGGGGAAUAUUGCACAAUGGGCGCAAGCCUGAUGCAGCCAUGCCGCGUGUGUGAAGAAGGCCUUCGGGUUGUAAAGUACUUUCAGCAGUGAGGAAGGUGGAGUCGUUAAUAGCGGCCCAUUUGAUCGUUAGCUGCAGAAGAAGCACCGGCUAACUCCGUGCCAGCAGCCGCGGUAAUACGGAGGGUGCGAGCGUUAAUCGGAAUUACUGGGCGUAAAGCGCAUGCAGGUGGCUUUGUUAAGUCAGAUGUGAAAGCCCGGGGCUCAACCUCGGAAUUGCAUUUGAAACUGGCGACUAGAGUACUGUAGAGGGGGGUAGAAUUUCAGGUGUAGCGGUGAAAUGCGUAGAGAUCUGAAGGAAUACCAGUGGCGAAGGGGCCCCCUGGACAAAGACUGACGCUCAGAUGCGAAAGCGUGGGGAGCAAACAGGAUUNGAUACCCUGGUA